Molecule: long non-coding RNA, 2478 nt
Organism: Prionailurus viverrinus (fishing cat)
Lineage: Eukaryota; Metazoa; Chordata; Mammalia; Carnivora; Felidae
Exons: 3
Source: RefSeq, a predicted model, not a curated record
CGGAAGAGCGAGCCGGGAAGAGCGGAAAAUCUGCCGGUGCUGCAACUGCCCGAGUUCUGCGUGCUUCCGUAGCCGCCUAUUCGGGGUAGAGCGGAGCCGAACUGCGCUCCAGUGCACAAGAACCGUGGUGUCCCCUCCCACCCCCGGUAGGAAGCCAGUCCUGAAUCGGGAGGCGUGGUAGCCACCGACACCUAACGCCACUCUCCGGAGUGAUUUCCUGCGGCCUCUGCGGCCUCAAGAGAGCACCGAAGGGGAGCUUAAGGAAUGUACUCGGCACAAGCAGGCCUGUCACAGGGGCAGCCCCUCCCGAACUCGGUGACGUGAAUCUUGGAAGCGGACAGCUCCAGCCUGAAGUCUCUCAGGGUACACAGCAGCUUAGCCCACACAGCCAGAGGUAACCCAAGAAGCUCCCUUAGAACACCAGGUUGUCCUCAGAAUUCACUCUCCACCAUGGGAGAAGAAAAAAGUUGAGGGUAGUAGACCUCAAACACCAGAAAGAAACGGUAAGGUCUUUGCAUGCUCUGAGUCCAGUUACACCGAACACAAAUCCAUCACCCCUAAAGAAAAUGAGCAAUCGAACAAGCAGCUCUCUGACAAGACCCAUGUAAUACGGUAUUGCUGCCCUGGGUAAGAAGUAAGAGCAUAAGCAGGUGCAUUUCCUGGAUAUAGAAGGAUAAAUCUUUGAACAUACUUUAACUCUACAAUGUUCAUCGUGGUUUUGAACUUUCCGUGGGAUGAAACAUCUGAAUUUCUUUAUCCUGCACAACAGGAAAUAGUGCAUUAAGUUCCUUGCAAGUCUUUGAAUAACCAAGAGUCUAAGCCCUACUUGAUAACCGUAUUAUAAAAAAAGACCAGUAUGGUAAACUAGAAGAAUCUGCUACCUACCUUUAAUUGUGAAGUACUUACUGUUUCUCAAUGGAGAUUUCAAGAAAUGAAAAAAAAAUUCUCUUUGGAAAAUAAAGGUGCUUUGGAGACUGAGAGGAACUAUAUAGGGUCAUUUGCUUAUUCAUAUUGGAAGAUCAGUUUUGAAUUUAAUAAUCAAACCUUAAAAACCAAUUCACAUUGCAUUAGAAAUCUGUUUUAACAAAAACAGUUUACAACAUGUCCUUAGUGCACCCAAAUCAACAAAACACACAUUAGAAGCUAGGAGCCCUAGGCAAUGAAAGGUAAUGUAUUAAUUUCCCAGGACUCUAAUUUACAGAUACCUAGCCAUUUCUCUUAAAAGCUAGAACUUAUUUUAGCAAUUCUCUGCAAACAAAACUGACACGAUUUCCCUAAUGCCUGUGGCUUUAAGCGCUCAGUGACAGCUUUCACAGGUUCACAACUGAAAACCCACAUCACUCUUUGUAUAGGAUAUACACUGUUUUCAUGGCUUCAUUUUUUUUCUGAAUCCUUUUCUCAGCUGUAGAAACUACAUAUUUGAUGUUGUUUUAGGUUGGGUUCUCCACGAGACAAAUGCGCAGAUGGCAUUAUGAGAAAAGGUUGAUUAAGAAUUAGCACCUGUGGAAGGAGAGCUGCAGGACUUGAAGGGGCAGGGGAGGGCACAGAACAUUUUGCACACCUGACAAAGCCCCUACCAGUUUUAGGGGAAACUCCAGAGCAAAAGGUGCCCAUUAGGGAGUCCAUGCUGGGGAGAAAGGACUAGGCCCUUGUAUGGCCACCUCUCUCAGUCACUGUCUGGGAACAGCCCCAAGAAGAGCCCAGGACAAACAUGACCCGGGUUUGAAGGCUCAAGUAGAGCCUGAAGAAGCUGGAGACCGUCUGCUAAUCAUACUGCAAGUGAGUGGAGUCGCCUCCAAUGCUGCAUUUCCAUGCCAGUCACGUGUGUCAGCACAUCAACAGCCUGUCUCACCUACAGCCCUUGCACCAUCAAAGACAGCCAAUAAAGGAAUGAAAAGACCCACAAAGAAAACUGAAGACACUUAUAUAGAAGAGAUCAACCAUCUCAGAAAGCAAAAUGAGUAAAGAAUUGGGAAUCAAUACAGCAGAACAAAGCUGAAGCCUAAGUCAUGGAAUCAGGAAAGCCAGCAAGAAGCAAGCCGAUUCCUGCCACAGAACUCCCAUCAGCUCAGGAAUAAGAGGCACCUGGUCCUCAGAGCCGGGAGAGACUGAAAACAUAAAAUAGCUGUGAAUCUUCAAAAUGCACAUCUGAGCACCCUUAUAUGCCUCACUAAACGAGGCCUGGUGACUACCCUGCUGGCAGCCUGAAAGAAAACCGGAGUGAAAAUUUACCCCCAAGAUAAAACUGAAGAGGGCUUGACCUCAGGGACACCAGAUAAGACAUAAAGGCCAAGAGUAAAUUCGGUAGAGAUGGAAUAAAGCUGAGGAAACCACCCAAAAAUGAUAAAGAAGCAGUUGGAGCAAAGACCAUUAGAAGAUCAGCCUGGAUGAUCAAAAGGAAUGAAAUCUUGCCAUUUGCAACAAUGUGGAUGGAACUAGAGUAUGUUAUGCUAAGCAAAAUAAGUCACGCAGAGAAAG